Molecule: ribosomal RNA, 789 nt
Filed under: uncultured bacterium
Lineage: Bacteria
Description: bacterial SSU rRNA
Rfam family: Bacterial small subunit ribosomal RNA
Source: RNAcentral
AGAGUUUGAUCAUGGCUCAGGAUGAACGCUAGCGGCAGGCUUAACACAUGCAAGUCGAGGGGUAUUGGGUGCUUGCACCCAAGAGACCGGCGCACGGGUGCGUAACGCGUAUGCAAUCUGCCUUUCACAGGGGGAUAGCCCGGAGAAAUCCGGAUUAAUACCCCAUGGUAUAUUGAUGUGGCAUCACAUUAUUAUUAAAGAUUUAUCGGUGAGAGAUGAGCAUGCGUCCCAUUAGCUAGUUGGUGUGGUAACGGCACACCAAGGCCACGAUGGGUAGGGGUCCUGAGAGGGAGAUCCCCCACACUGGUACUGAGACACGGACCAGACUCCUACGGGAGGCAGCAGUGAGGAAUAUUGGUCAAUGGGCGCAAGCCUGAACCAGCCAUGCCGCGUGCAGGAUGAAGGUCCUACGGAUUGUAAACUGCUUUUAUACGGGAAGAAACCCUGGAACGUGUUCCAGAUUGACGGUACCGUAAGAAUAAGGAUCGGCUAACUCCGUGCCAGCAGCCGCGGUAAUACGGAGGAUCCAAGCGUUAUCCGGAAUCAUUGGGUUUAAAGGGUCCGUAGGCGGCCUUAUAAGUCAGUGGUGAAAUCUCACGGCUCAACCGUGAAAUGGCCAUUGAUACUGUAGGGCUUGAAUUAUUGGGAAGUAACUAGAAUAUGUAGUGUAGCGGUGAAAUGCUUAGAUAUUACAUGGAAUACCGAUUGCGAAGGCAGGUUACUACCAAUGGAUUGACGCUGAUGGACGAAAGCGUGGGUAGCGAACAGGAUUAGAUACCCUAGUAGUCC